Molecule: ribosomal RNA, 205 nt
Filed under: uncultured bacterium
Lineage: Bacteria
Description: partial 16S ribosomal RNA
Rfam family: Bacterial small subunit ribosomal RNA
Source: RNAcentral
GACGAACGCUGGCGGCGUGCCUAACACAUGCAAGUCGAACGGGGCCAGGGGCAACUCUGGUUCAGUGGCGGACGGGUGCGUAACACGUGAGGAACAUGACCCUUCGGCGGGGAGGUAGCCGGCCCGAACCGGACCGGGUAACGUACCGCCGUACGACCACCAUGGGACGAUCCCUCGAGUGGUGGAAAGACAGCAAUAGCGCCGA